Molecule: ribosomal RNA, 354 nt
Filed under: uncultured bacterium
Lineage: Bacteria
Description: partial 16S ribosomal RNA
Rfam family: Bacterial small subunit ribosomal RNA
Source: RNAcentral
CCUACGGGUGGCAGCAGUAGGGAAUAUUGCUCAAUGGGGGAAACCCUGAAGCAGCAACGCCGCGUGGAGGAAGAAGUUUUUCGGUCUGUAAACCUCUCUCGUCAGAGAAGAUAAUGACGGUAGCUAAUUAAUAAGCCCCGGCUAACUACGUGCCAGCAGCCGCGGUAAUACGUAGGGGGCAAGCGUUACCCGGAUUUACUGGGUGUAACGGGAGCGUAGCCGGCAGAGCAAGUCAGAUGUGAAAUGCCAGGGAUUAACCCUGGAACUGCUUUGGAAACUGUUAUGCUAGAGUGUAGGAGAGGUAAGUGGAAUUCUUAGUGUAGGGGUGAAAUACGUAGAGAUUAGGAGGAACAC